Molecule: transfer RNA, 73 nt
Filed under: Blattella germanica (German cockroach)
Lineage: Eukaryota; Metazoa; Arthropoda; Insecta; Blattodea; Blattellidae
Description: tRNA-Sup (CTA) (tRNA-Sup-CTA-3-1)
Rfam family: tRNA
About the family: Transfer RNA (tRNA) molecules are approximately 80 nucleotides in length.
Source: RNAcentral
GCCCGACUAGCUCAGUCGGUAGAGCAUGAGACCCUAAAUCUCAAUUUCGUGGGUUCGAACCCCUCGUUGGGCG